RNAcentral lists this ribosomal RNA (497 nucleotides) under uncultured bacterium. Its description in RNAcentral is "partial 16S ribosomal RNA". It matches the Rfam family "Bacterial small subunit ribosomal RNA", at positions 28 to 507 of the family's 1533-position model. The record is from RNAcentral.
GAUGAACGCUGGCGGCGUGCCUAAUACAUGCAAGUCGAGCGAACGGACGAGAAGCUUGCUUCUCUGAUGUUAGCGGUGGACGGGUGAGUAACACGUGGAUAACCUACCUAUAAGACUGGGAUAACUUCGGGAAACCGGAGCUAAUACCGGAUAAUAUUUUGAACCGCAUGGUUCAAAAGUGAAAGACGGUCUUGCUGUCACUUAUAGAUGGAUACGCGCUGCAUUAGCUAGUUGGUAAGGUAACGGCUUACCAAGGCAACGAUGCAUAGCCGACCUGAGAGGGUGAUCGGCCACACUGGAGCUGAGACACGGUCCAGACUCCUGCGAGAGGCAGCAGUAGGGAAUCUUACGCAAUGGGCGAAAGCCUGACGGAGCAACGCCGCGUGAGUGAUGAAGGUCUUCGGAUCGUAAAACUCUGUUAUUAGGGAAGAACAUAUGUGUAAGUAACUGUGCACAUCUUGACGGUACCUAAUCAGGAAGCCACGGCUAACUACGUG